RNAcentral lists this long non-coding RNA (653 nucleotides) under Capsella grandiflora. Its description in RNAcentral is "long non-coding RNA (CGRA_LNC000358)". The record is from RNAcentral. Lineage: Eukaryota; Viridiplantae; Streptophyta; Magnoliopsida; Brassicales; Brassicaceae.
CGUAAGUUUAAUAUUUUCGUUGGAAAAAAUCGAAUGCAAACCAUAUAAACCAAAAUGGAAAGAGAUCAGAGUAAGAAGAAGACUGACACCACCGCAGCCGGGGACGAGAGCACGGCCAAGAGGGAGUGAGCAAGUGUCGACAAGAUGAACGAUGAGAGGUGUGGCUCUUCCUUGGUCCCAUGGUGUUAUCUCUUCUUCCCAACAUUUCUCCCAUCCACCUGCAAUAUAUACAUUUUAUAUUAUAUAUUACGUACGGUAAAAAUAUAAAUGCUUAAAUAACUUUCUGGUCUAUAUAUGGAUAAUUAAAUUCACAAAAAUGAUAUAAGUCAAUCACCAUUACGAAUUGAAUUUCUGAUGAGUAUAAAAUUCGUUAAACUUAACAAUUAAUAUACAUGAACUUUGUAUAUUCAGAAAGCUGUUGAUUUUGGUUAUAACUAAUUGUAAACUCAUUGCUAUAUAUGGACAGAAGACCUAUAUAAAUCUCUGUUAAUUGUGAAAAAAAAAAAGUAUCAUCAAGGGAAGAAUGAAUAUGAAUCACCGACCUUCUUCAACAGUUUUGUGCAGGAAAGUAGCAACUUCUUCAGGAGUAGGAAUAACGUUUCCUCCACCGUUGCUCUGACCUUGACGUUCUUCAGCCAUUUCUAGAGGUUCUC